Molecule: ribosomal RNA, 665 nt
Filed under: uncultured archaeon
Lineage: Archaea
Description: bacterial SSU rRNA
Rfam family: Archaeal small subunit ribosomal RNA
Source: RNAcentral
UUCCGGUUGAUCCUGCCGGACCCCACUGCUAUCGGGAUGAGACUAAGACAUGCUAGUCGUGCACCUCCAGGCCACGGUGGAGGCGCGGCGCACAGCUCAGUAACACGUGGCUAACCUACCCUUGGGACGGAAAUAACCCCGGGAAACUGGGGCUAAUUUCCGAUAGGUGAAGAUUCCUGGAAUGGAUCUUCGCCGAAAAGGCGUCUAGACCAUGCUUCUAGGCGCUGCCCAAGGAUGGGGCCGCGGCCGAUCAGGUUGUUGGUGAGGUAACGGCUCACCAAGCCUAUAACCGGUACGGGCCGUGGGAGCGGUAGCCCGGAGAUGGGCACUGAGACAAGGGCCCAGGCCCUACGGGGCGCAGCAGUCGCGAAACCUCCGCAAUACGCGAAAGCGUGACGGGGUCAUCCCGAGUGCCGUCCGCUGAGGAUGGCUUUUCCCCAGUGUAGACAGCUGGGGGAAUAAGGAGAGGGCAAGUCGGGUGUCAGCCGCCGCGGUAAUACCCGCUCUCCGAGUGGUGGGGACGCUUAUUGGGCCUAAAGCAUCCGUAGCCGGCUGGACAAGUCCCCUGUUAAAUCCAGCGAUUUAAUUCGUUGGACUGCGGGGGAUACUGUCCGGCUAGGGGGGCGGGAGAAGGCCGACGGUAUUUUCCGGGGUAGGGGUUGAAA